UACGUAGGGCGCGAGCGUUGUCCGGAAUUAUUGGGCGUAAAGAGCUCGUAGGCGGUCUGUCGCGUCUGCUGUGAAAACCCGAGGCUCAACCUCGGGCCUGCAGUGGGUACGGGCAGACUAGAGUGCGGUAGGGGAGAUUGGAAUUCCUGGUGUAGCGGUGGAAUGCGCAGAUAUCAGGAGGAACACCGAUGGCGAAGGCAGAUCUCUGGGCCGUAACUGACGCUGAGGAGCGAAAGCGUGGGGAGCGAACAGG
RNAcentral lists this ribosomal RNA (253 nucleotides) under uncultured bacterium. RNAcentral describes it as "partial 16S ribosomal RNA". It matches the Rfam family "Bacterial small subunit ribosomal RNA", at positions 524 to 776 of the family's 1533-position model. The record is from RNAcentral.